Monodelphis domestica (gray short-tailed opossum) is the source of this 13102-nucleotide long non-coding RNA. RefSeq lists it as uncharacterized. The record is from RefSeq and is a predicted model, not a curated record. NCBI's taxonomy places the organism in Eukaryota, Metazoa, Chordata, Mammalia, Didelphimorphia, Didelphidae.
UUCUGCUUUCCGCCUGGUCUUAAAGUUCUCUUUUUGAAAUGGAGACAUGCCAAGAGCUUCAAAGAUUCCCGUCCCAACAAAGUGGCCAGCCUUGCCUUCUGGGUCCGAGCUGCUGUUGUUGUUCUUUUUAUUUCUGGGUAGAAACCAACAAAGAGUUACUGUGAGUUUCAUAAAUAACAUUCCAAGGAAAGGGCAGGAGAGAGGGAGGCAGAUUAUCCUGCAGGGAAAUGGGCACAAUGGACAGCAUUCCUAGGAGUUACAAUGGCCAAUUGUCCCCGAUCUGUGGAGAAAUGGUCCCAGUGGACAGCAUUCUUUCUUAAAAGUGCAGCCCAGCAAGGCCACGAGUCUGCCAAAAAUCUGCCCGGACAGCCCACAUUUGUUGUGGUACCAACAAUGGCACAUUGUAUGGAAGAGUGACCCAGGGUCUGGAUGAGGAGAAGGUCACAUACAGGCUCCCAUUCUUAUUGUCAAACAUUUCUCUAGACUCAUGACCCCUUGCCUCCAGUUAGCUUUAGCCACUAUCACAUCUCAGAGUUGAAAAUGUCAGCCCAAGCCCGAAUGGAAAACUCAACACAACGCUAAGCUAAUUCUUACCAUCUCUCAUGUCUUCAAAGUGAGCCCUUGCUUUCCUCUGAUGUGAGGGAGGACAUAAAUAGAGAGGGAUUUCUCCUCUGAGAGUCCCCUAUACCAGUGGCAUCACCAUUCCUGUCCCUCUACCUAAGCUAUUCUCUGAUUUCCCACCUCUCUCACCCCAGCCCCCUCCAUAAUUUUAUUUUUCUGAGUAGUUUCCUCUUUCCCCAAUUACAUGUAAAAACAAUUAUGGCAUUCUUUUGUUUAAAUGUUGAGUCCCAAAUUCUUUCUUUCCUUUCCAUCCCUCUAUCUCCCUGAAAUAGUAAGAGCUCUAACAUAGAUUUUACAUGUGCAAUUUUAUAGAACAUUUUUCCGUAUUAGUCAUCUCCUGGAAGAGAAGUCCAACAGCAACAAAAAUGGGGAAAGAAAGUCAAAUAUAUACUAUGUUGUGGUCUGCAUUUGGAGUCCAGUUAUUUCUCUGGAGGCUCAUCCAAUUUUUCAUCAGAACUCCUCUGGGAUUGUCUUGGAUUACUCUGUUGGUCAUCAUAAAAUAGUGCUGCCUACACUGUGAGCAAUGUUCCCCUGGUUCUGCUCCAUUCACUCUGCAUCAGGUCAUGUAAACUUUUCCAGGAUUUGCUGAAAUUCCUCCUUUUCAUCAUUUCUUAUAGUAUAAUAACAUAAUAGACAAUCAAUACAGCAACUCGGUCUGCCAUUCCUAAACUGAAGGACAUCUCAGUUUCCAAUGCUUUGCCACUGCAAAAAGAAUUGCUAUAAGCAUUUUUGUACAAAUAGGUCCUUUUAGCCGUUUAAAAUCUCUUUAGGACUUGGCAUUGCUGGUGGUAUUGCUGGAUCAAAGGGUACACAAAGUUUUCAAGUCCUUUGGGCAUAGCUUCAGAAUGGUUGGGUCAGUUUACAACUCCGCCAAUAAUGUGUUUUUGUCCCAAUUUUCACACCUUUUCCAACAUUUAUCACAUUCCUUUUCUGUCACAUUAGUCAAUCUGAUAGGUGUGAAAUGGCACUUCAGGGUUGUCUUCAUUUGCAUUUCUCUAAUCAAGAGUGACUUGGACAGUUGUCUUAUACUUACUCUGGAUAACCUUGAUUUCUUUAUCUGAAAACUGCCUGUUUAUAUCCUUUGAUCAUUUAUCAUUUGAAGAAUGAUCUAUUCUCAUAGAUUUGACUUAGUUCUCUGCAUAGCUGAGAAGGAGGCCUUUAUCAGAGAUAUUCACUCCAGCUUUCUGCUCUCCUGCUAAUCUUGGGUGCAUUGGUUUUGUUUUCAAGCCCACAAUUUUCAAAAAAAUCAGAAGUGUGGGUGGCUCCAAGGUCAAAAAAGAGGUGUAAGUUUGACAGAUUGUAGCCUAUAGUCAGAGAUGGCUUGUGCAAAAGAAGUGAUAGCAAAGCUGCCAGUAAGGAUAUGCAAGACUGGAAAAUGUGGGAGGUCUUGAGAACGAUGCAUAACUGACAGUCCAAGGACCAAUGCCAUUGGGAUAGUCAUCAAAACAAGGGAAGGUCCUGUGCAUGGUGAGAGUUCCCUGAAAACCAUUUGCAAGAAUAUGUAAGAAAGUCUGAAAAAGCUGAAAUCUGUUCUAUUGGAAGGCGUGUCUCAUGGAUGAUAUUAGAGAUCUGCUGUCAUGCCAUGAAUUUGAACUUUGUCCCUCUUUUGCAUAGCUCUUCGAAGUCCUGGGCAGUAAGCACUAUUUAUUCCAGAAGUGUCUGGGGUUCCAUUCAUUAUCAAUUUCAUGUUUCCCCUUUAGAGAUAAUAAGAUCAUAGAAUAAAUGUUCUUCAGCAGUAUUUUAGGGAAUUCUUACUGUUGAGCUUAUCACUUCUGACAACUCCACAGAUAAUUACCAGGAUGGCAACUGACCUCUGACUCAGUGUUUAAUCUGAUAACUCCAGUGGAAGACUUUGGGCUUUCUUUCCACUGAAUUUUUUCAGGAGAGCUGAACGAUGGGAGGAUAGAUAGGUCCCUUUCUCUUGGUGUCAAAGGCUCAAUCAUUUUGUUCUUUCCUCUGCUCUGGUACCGAUAUCAAACUGUACUUCAUUGUCAUGAUGUCAGACGAUGGAUAGUUUGCCCAAGACUGAAAACAGUACCUUUACUAUGGACAGAACAAUUCACAAUAGUAAAGGGAGCUUUCUUUUGGGUCUCAUAACUUCUGAACCUUUUCAGGGAUGAGUAGUUCCCUGAACUAUUGGAGUAGAAGCCAUUUGCUUUGUCUCAUUGCUGGGUUGCUCUUUGGCAAAAGAGAUGCAAUGAAAAAGCAUUUUGCCUAGACUGAGCUUAUGUUUGUUUGUUUCAGAAAUUAGAUAAAUAUCACUCUAAAGUUUUCUGUAAACUGGAAGAAUACAAGAGCCACCAUUCUGCUGAAGUCAACCAAGCACUCUGCCAUGUGCAUUGAAGGUGUUAAAAGGGACUGACUAAUUUUGAAAUGCAAAUUUGGAAACAGUGUCAGGGGUUCAGGUUGGUCCUGGAGGAUCCUUUUCUUCUUAGCUCAUCUGGCAAUCUUCCCACAGAUCAACAUCCACAAAGAUGGCUGCCGAAUCUCUUCUAAAUGAGGAAGGAUACUGUAUUAUAUAGGGUUGGGGAAAUAAAGGGGAAGUAUGGAAUAAGGUGACUUGCAGUAAUCUCAUUGGUUGUCUCUGAGGAAAGCGAGCUACUUGGGUUCACUUCAUUGGAUAUUCCUGAGAUGGGGUGGGGAACCCCAGUCUCUGGAUGUGUUGGCUGGUUCUCAGGAAUGGUGCUCACCUAUGCCCAAAGGGCGACAAAAGAAUAUCUACCCUUUGACCCAGCCAUAGCACUGCUGGGUCUGUACCCCAAAGAGAUAAUGGACACAAAGACUUGUACAAAAAUAUUCAUAGCUGCGCUCUUUGUGGUGGCCCAAAACUGGAAAACGAGGGGAUGCCCAUCAAUUGGGGAAUGGCUGAACAAACUGUGGUAUAUGUUGGUGAUGGAGUACUAUUGUGCUAAAAGGAAUAAUAAAGUGGAGGAAUUCCAUAAAGACUGGAACAACCUCCAGGAAGUGAUGCAGAGCGAGAGGAGCAGAACCAGGAGAACAUUGUACACAGAGACUAAUACACUGUGGUAUAAUCGAACGUAAUGGACGUCUCCAUUAGUGGCGGUGUAAUGUCCCUGAACAACUUGCAGGGAUCCAGGAGAAAAAAACACCAUUCAUAAGCAAAGGAUAAACUAUGGGAGUGGAAACACCGAGGAAAAGCAACUGCCUGAACACAGCGGUUGAUGGGACAUGACAGAGGACAGACUCUAAAUGAACACUCUAGUGCAAAUACUAUCAACAAAGCAAUGGGUUCAAAUCAAGAAAACAUCUAAUGCCCAGUGGACUUACGCGUCGGCUAUGGGGGGUGGGGGGGAGGAAAAGAAAAUGAUCUUUAACGAAUAAUGCUUGGAAAUGAUCAAAUAAAAUAUAUUUAAAAAAAAAAGAAAAAAAAAGGAAUGGUGCUCACCCAUGAAGGACAGGCUGAGGAACAAAGUCCUGGUGUUCCACCAGGUGUUGUUGGGGCAGGCAUUGAGGGAAGUGCUUUAUGUUCCCACAGCCCCGUCAUUCGAAUUCUUUUCUCUGUUUAAAAAAAGGAAAAAAGGGGGGUGGUAUAUGGUAGAGGGGUUUGGAAGGGGGGGCCAUAAGUCCAAGGGGCAAUGGGCAAUGUUCUUUGCUCAUCAAACUGCUUCCUGCUGAGAGGGGAAGUCAUGGAUUAUUAUUGAGUCUUUCCUGCUUCCAUCUCCAUCCCUGAGCAGAUAUUGAUAUUGAUAUCAAUAAAAUCGCAUUACAGAUUAGUGUAACUUUCUUGUUACAGCAUUCUUGUAGAUAAAUUUCUCCACCCCAUGCUCAGUGAUACACAGACUUGGGGUGGAGUACAGAUACCUAGGUAAGUAGUGGAGCAUAGUUGAUUGCUAUGCACGUUCAAAUUUAAUAAUUGGCUUUUGAAAACUGGUUCAAGAUGGCAGCAGAACAUUCUCGCCCCUUACUAGCAGUGAUUAGGCGUGGGCAUUUCAGGUAAUUGGGAGAACGAUGGCAGAAGGCACGUGUUUAGUUAUAUGACUACAAGUCCAGUUACAUACUAAGUGAAACAAGUCUGAGAAGAAGAGUGAGAUUGAGGAUAGAUCUCAUAGCCAAUGAGAUCUUAUCAGGAAGGAAUAACAGAGCCUCAGCUAACAAGGGAGUUUGCUAUGGAUAAAGGUGAACUCCUGAAUUCAAGUUCAAAAAUAUAUUUGUGCAAGUCUAGGAUGAGAGAAUAUGUCGUGAGAAAUUCCUGAAGACCUGGAAGAGCAUCCUAGAGGGGAAGGGGUUGGGGAUGCUUGGUAUGCCCACAGUGGGACUAAAAACUGGGGAUGUCCACAGUGAGCCUUAUCAACCCCAAAUUCUAAUGGGGAACUUAGCUUUAGUUAACAGAUUUCUAACACACAUAAUGAGGAAGGUGAUCGCCUCACUGUCCUGUUCCCUGGCCAGACCACAUCUGCAGCUGUGUAAUUAGGUCCAUGGGCUAGACUUUGAAGGGACAGUCAUGAUCCUGAAUAUGUGUAGAGCAGGUUGACCAGGAUUGCUUGCAUAUUGGUUGGAAUAACUGAGAAUAUUUAGCCUGGAGAAGAGAAGACUUGAAGCAGAAGGCGGUGACACACAAUAUCAUCCUUAAAUAGCUAAAGGGUUGUCCAACGAAAGGGUUCUAUUCACUUUCCCUGACUGCCAAAUUUGGAUACCAACAGGAGAACAUUACAGAAAGGCAAGUUUAGAGUCAAAAGAAAUAUAUUUUUUUCCCAAGCUGACUUGGGUAUUUUAUUUUGUUUUUUUCCCUUUUAAACAUUAUUUUAUUUGGUCAUUUCCAAACAUUAUUCACUGGAAACAAAGAUCAUUUUCUUUUCCUCCCCCUCCCUCCCACCACCCCUCCCAUAGCCGACGCAUGAUUCCACUGGGUAUCACAUGUGUUCUUGACUCAAACCCAUUUCCCUGUUGUUGGUAUUUGCAUUAGAGUGUUCGUUUAGAGUCUCUCCUCUGUCAUGUCCCCUCAACCCCUGUAGUCAAGCAGGUGCUUUUCCUCGGUGUUUUUACUCCCAUAAUUUGGCCUCUGCUUGUGGAUAGUGUUUUGUAGAUCCCUGCAGAUUGUUCAGGAUCACUGCAUUGACCCUAAUGGAGAAGUCCAUUACGUUCGAUUGUGCCACAGCGUAUCAGUCUCUGUGUACAAUGUUCUCCUGGUUCUGCUCCUCUCGCUCUGCAUCACUUCCUGGAGGUUGUUCCAGUCUCCAUGGAAUUCCUCCACCUUAUUAUUCCUUUUAGCACAAUAGAAUUCCAUCACCAACAUAUAUCUUCCCACGUGUCAUUAUCAACAAAUGGAAUGGGCUAUAGCAGGAGGUGGAAGCCUUCAAUCUGAGACUGCACACCAACCUGGUGGAACUAUUGGGAGGUAUGGCUUAGCCUUAAUCAUCAUGGGAGCUGCUGCAGACAUAUUUAUGAUUCUAGUCCAUUGAAAGAUCCCUUAAGAACAAUGCUUAGUGUCUUCAUGGAUUUUUUUUAAUUUAAAAGGUUAUUCUAAAAUCUGAUCAACUUCAUAAAGAGAAGAGGUCAGGCUUAGAGUCAAGAGACCUGAGUUUGAAUCCCAGAUCAGCCACUAAUUGUUUGAUGCAGGGACAAGUUAGACUCCAAACCUCAGUUUCCUCAUCUGUAAAAAGAGACUCAUAAGACAUAUACUGGAUGUCCUGAAUGGGUUAUUUAUAUGCCAAGCGUUUAGUAGAUUUUAAAGCAUUUUAGAUGAGUGGGUUGGUGAUUAUUAUUCUGAGACUCAUUUAAUAUAGUUUUCAGAAUGACAGCCCAAAGAUCAUUCCUACUUCCUUCGUAGUCUUCCUAACAGGGCACAGAUUUUGGUAGUAUAGUACUAGAAUCACUCCUCUAGGAAAAACGCCGGAACCCCUAAUAUAAACAGAGAAAGCUCUCCAGUUUCUCAAUAACCUCUUUCUUUGUAUUAACAUUUCUAAAGGAAACAUUCCACUCUGUCCUCAUCAAUCCCCUGUUUCCAUUUUGACUAAUAGUCCUCAAGCCACAUUAGCCCUAUAGAUCAUGGAUCCGCUCACCCACUUUUGUCUGUACUUAUCAGCAGUAACCAAAUACAAUUCUGAAAAAUGAGAUUAUGAAUAUUAAAAAGGUUGUAUCAGUCCCCCCCCCACUUAGUCACCUGGGAUUAAUGAAUCCACUAGUGAGCAGAAAUGAAUCACUCACCUUAUUCCAAAUGCAUACAUCUUUGAGGCAGCCUGGCAUAGUGGAAAGCUCACAUGGGUUUGAAGGCAGAGAACUUGGGUUUGAUUUCGCCAUUUUUACCAACUAUGUAACUGCAGGCAAAUCAUUUCCUUUUUGUGGGCCUCUCACUUUCCCAUCUAUGAAAUUAAGAAAUUGGAAGAGCUGAUAUUUGAGGGCUUUUCUAGCUGUAAACCUGGGGUUCUGUGAGAACUUUUCUCCCCGCCCCGGGGAAGUAUACCGUAUCUUUAAAAUCCUUUAACCAUGGGUUAAAAACAUUCAUGAAUAUACCCUAUUAUUUUUUCAACUAAAAGGUGUUUUUUUAACACUAAGAGCAGUUACUUCUAGUGGCUUCAGAAGUCUAGACCACAGAUGAUUGGAAUAAAAUGCAUAGAUAAUUUGAUGUUCCAAAUUAAAAGUGACUCUAUAAAGGUUUGUGUUUUCAAAAUCUCCUUUAAAGUUGAUCUUUAUCCCCCUCUGCAUCUUCACCAUCUUCUAGGAUAGGUACUUUAAGGUAGACCCUCUUCAAAAACCCUCUUUAGCUAAAGGUGAAUGUCCUGUUUCUGGGAACUCAUUUAUAUUCAAGUCAAGGAUGAAUCACAGAAGGCAGGUGUGGGUUCAUUAGAUUGGUCAGCAGUUGGUGAACCAUUAAAAUGGAACUAAGGAAUGCUAUUGCACUCUAAGAAAUGAUGAGCAGGAUGGUUUCAGAAAAACUGGGGAAGACUUAUGUGAACUGAUGCAGAGUGAAGUAAGUAGAACCAGGUGACCAUUGCAGAAAGUAAUAGAAAUAUUGCAUGAUGAUCAACUGUAAAAGACCAAGCGAUUCUCAGCAUUACAGUGAUCCAAGGCAAUCCCAAAGCACUUAUUAUGAAAAAUGCCAUCCACCUCCAGUGAAAGAACUGAUGGAGUCUGAAAGCAGACCAAAACAUACUAUAUUUCAUUUUCUUCAUUUUUGUUGUUGUUCAAAUUCUCUUCUGCAAAAUGACUAAUAUGGAAAAAUGUUUUACAUGAUUACACAUGUAAAAGCCAUAUCAGAUUGCUUACCACCAGGGAGUGGGGAGGGACAGGAGGGAGAAAAUUUGGAAUUCAAACUACUAAAAAUGAAUGUUAAAAUUUAUUUUUACAUGAUAAUGAGGGAAAUAUUAUUUUUUAAGUAGAGUCAGUAGAAGGACCCCAAACUUGCUUUGUUUUCCUUACCCACUGGGGUCUACAUUUAAAUGCAAGUCACAGUAUUCAGAACUUACUUAUCAUGAAUUUCCAUUUCAUGGUGAUGGAUAUUCUAGUUGAUAUGUGAUUUCCUGAGGCUGUAAUGUCUCUGUACUUCAUCUUUACCUUCUGAUUAUGCCCUUUAAUAAAUUCUCCCUAAAGCAUCUAUCCAUCGUGCUAGGAACUUUCCUCUAAGAUCCUUCACUAUUUUCUCUGUGCCAGCAAACUCUUCAGACUGGCCACCUGCUAAGAUUUAAUCUUAGUUAUGCUAUAAGCAUAGCCUGAUUCUUCUUCUAAUCACUGAUGUCCUCACUAACAUCUCUUAUAUAAUUUAUUGGACUUAAGUCAGCAAGAGGAGAUGUCUAUACUUACCAUGGAUCUUCUCCUUCCCCUUGGAUCAUUCCCCAUUUUUAGUGGAGAUUAUGGUGUGACCAAGUAUUGAUGAAGUAGACUUGGUGGCAUUUCUUUCUGCUCUGAGGAUCUUAAAAAGCCUUUGGCAAUUUGCAGGGAUCUAGGAGAAAAAAACACUAUCCAUAAGCAAAGGAUAAACUAUGGGAGUGGAAACACCGAGGAAAAGCAACUGCCUGAAUACAGCGGUUGAGGGGACAUGACAGAGAAGAGACUCUAAAUGAACACUCUAAUGCAAAUAUUAUCAACAUGGCAAUGGGUUCAAAUCAAGAAAACAUGUAAUGCCCAGUGGAUUUGCGUGUCGGCUAUGGGGGGUGGAGGGGUGGGGGGAAGAAAAGAAAAUGAUCUAUGUCUUUAAUGAAUAAUGCUUGGAAAUGAUCAAAUAAAAUAUAAUUAAAAAAAAAGCCUUUGGAUAUUUGUACCAUUUGGGGGUAUUUUCAUUAAAUGAGUGGGCCAGACCCAAGUGUUCAAUGACUGGACAAACUUUUUAAUAUGUAUAUUCAGUUUUGGAAUCAUAUUGGCUAGAUGAGGUUGAGGCAGCUCCUUCUGCCAGUGUAUUAGCUUGUUUGGGACAGAACAUGAAGCCUCUACCUUGAGUUCUGUGUUUGUUCUCUUUCUUUGUUGGUCCAGGAAAGCGUAUUUUCCCAGUAGAAGAAGCAAAAAGAAUUAUUUGUGUUUGAUCUUACUCAAAAUGUGUUGAGCAAACGCUAGAUACUCCCUGUGUUCCCAAGGAAUCUGGAUCAAUGCACUCAUGCCCUUCAGCAGAGAGUAAGUGAGGGUUGUCUCUUACUUCUGCACUGAAGCUUGUCUAGAUAGAUAGAUCUGAGAGUCUGGGUUGGAGAGAGUUUGGUCAUCAUCUUUUAUUUUUUCUUUUAAAAAGUUCUAGGACAGAGUGAGAUUGGCCUUGGCUCUUUCAGCACCUGAUAUUCUUGCAUUUGGCUAGAUUCUUUUAAUUAAAUUAGUAACUCAAAAAAAUUGCUGUGUGAUAUGAUGAAAAAAUGCUAGACUUAGAAUCAGGCAAGCACAGGGUUCAAAUUCUAAUUUUGACACUUCUUGUAUAUUACAUAGCCCAAAUCAUUUAUUCAUCUCAAGAAGCUGCAAUUCCUUCCUCUGUAGAAAGUGAUUUGCUUUGAGGGUCAAAUAGGAAAAUGGAUGUGAAAUCUAUUGUUAGUAUUUAUUUAUUUUUCUUCUUUUAAUUCUUGUGUUGGUAAAUUUUCUUCCUUUAUAAGUCACCAAUAUGUUUUGGGACACGAACAUUCACAAAACAUCUCUCACAGACGUGUCUUGAAAUUAUCAGGUUAAAUAUAAAGUUGGUAGGGAUACUGGAUGAAAGUGUUUCUCUCGGGUGAACCUUGUAAGCCUUCUAGCCUUGAGAAGAUGAUGGACACUUGUGAAUAUCCACAACACAGAGCUCUGGACAGAUCAUGGAAACGUCUGAGUGUUCAGUGGCUGUAUUGUGGCAUGGUCCUCUUACCUUAGAUACCAGCUCAGCUUUCUCAUGCAGUGGAUACUUUGGAGUUUGAGAUAGUGAAAAGGGAAACCAGUUGAUUGUCAUAGAAUCUUUCUAACUAGUCACUUUUUGUCCGAGAUGUAUUCUUCUAUAAUUAUAUUCUAUAAUUAUCUCUCUUCCACCCUCCUCUUUUUCCUGCCUUUUCUUUCACCCCUCACCAUAAAAGAAAUAUUUACAAUAUAAUUAUGGCAAGGUUUUAAAAAGGUGACCAUCAUUCUCUUUCAGUCCUUAUUCUCAAAUCAUCUUUUUUAGCCUGGUUUUAGUUGUUAAUUUCUAUUUCAUUAUUUCUAAAUUUGUUUCCUGCAUCUCUUAACUAAUAACCUCUAAGUGUAUCUCUCAUCUUUUUCAAGUGUAUUUUCCCUUACAACAAAAACAAAAAUUAAGUAAAAUCAAAAUAUAUGACAUUCCACUCCCAUAGUCUUUCACCUCUCCAAAAUAAUGAGAGAGGCCCCAAGCAGGCAAGAAACAAAUAUUUAUUAAUCACUGUCCUACAUGCCAGAAAUUGAAAUAAAACCAAAAUAAGGGUAGUCUCUACACUCAAGUUGCUUAUGUUGAAGAUAACAUAUGAAGGACCAUGUGGAGCAAUGGUGAACAAAGCCCAGAGAGACAGAAGCGACCCAGAUAAGAGUGGAAUGAAGUCUGCCCAGCCUGGGCCCAUCCCCCAAAGGGAAGCCAUAAAAGGAAGUCACUAGUGGAAGAAGGGAGCCAACAGGAAGAGGAAAACUCCAAGGAGAGUAGUUCCUCAUUCCAGUUCUAUUUUAGCUGCCUUUCCUCAUGUCCAUUUUCCUUUUGAAGUCACAGAGAAUCAAAGUAUAUGCUGAUUUAUACAGUGAGAGGAUCUUUUUCAAUUUUGCUUCUCCACAAUACUUCAGAUUAUUGUAAAUGAAGGCAUUCCAUAGAAUGCAUGACUUGACUAAGGCCAAGAAAUGUCAAACCUAAGAAAUCCUAAUGUUUUCCAGUCUAUUUAGGGAACCUGGGAAAUGGAUAGGUAGAGCAUUUAUUAAAUACUCUCUACAUCCCAGGUACUAUGCUGAGCCCUGGGGAUACAAGUACAAGCAAAAAAGAUAGACUUUGCCCUUAAGAAGCUUGCAUUCUAGUAGCAGAAGGCACACAUAACAAAGAAAUAGAAAGCAAGAUGGCAGAGGAAAGGUUCCUACUUUUCAGAUGGUGGUGGGAAUUGCUUGGACUCACUGCUAUUCUGUAUAUGAUUCUAUCUAAUGUGACUGGUCAAUGACAGAUGGCAAGAAAUUUUUGAGAUAGUGACUCCAUAAUCUUGGAGAUUUUGACAGGCAAGGAGGAGAGUACUGUAAAAGGGAAUUCUUUGUUCUCUCUGAGUUUACAUUUGUGAAAGGGUAUCCUUUAUUUCCUUUGUCUAUUUGGAGUUAACACUAACCUAAGUACCCCUACUUAGAUUGUAAAGACAAGAUUAACUCCCCUUUGUCUACUUUUGUAUUGAAUCAACAAAAGGUUGAACAUCCUAUUUAGUAUUGGGUGAGAAGCUAGUUAGGUACUUAGAGAACUCACAAGUCACUUACUUAGAGAGCUCCACUCUUUUAACUUGUGAAUUCCAUGAUCAGAAUUUACACCCUCAGAAACGAAAUCAGCCAGGAAUCUGAGUCCUUUUGAUGAGUAUUUACCCCUCCAGAAGGUGAGAACUGGUUCCCACAAACACUGCCCAGCAGUGCUAGACAAUUUGGAAACUGUGAUUGGCCCCUGUGAAGAGGGGCAGGGACAAGAAAUCACCAUAAAAAUCCAGGAUUCCUUCAGUUUGAGGGAGUCUUGUGGAGAUAGUCUCCUGACUGGAAAGAGUCUUUGAGGGACCUUAGCUGGAGACUGAGGCUUGGAUUGUGGGCUUGAAGCUUGGCUUUACCUUGGACUCUGAUUCCUGGACUACUUUGUGGGGUUAGUGAAAGGCUGGCUCCUUUCUUAAUUUCUGGAAAGACUGGCUUCCAUCUUGGAGGAGGCUGCGUGAUUACUCACUACAGGUCUUCCUGGUUGAGAGCUAAUUAAUCUCUGCCUGGAUUAAGAUAGGAAAGAUAACUUUUCUAUACCCUUCACAUUUCUCAACUUCAUUGUUUACUCUCCAUUUUGUAAAUACUUAUAAAUAAAUUUAUGACUCGAGACAUAAUCAAUAUUGGCAACCACAUAAUUUCAUAAAAUUGUUGUCCGACCAUUAAAUUUAACCCUUACAACACCAAUUAUAGUCUGAUGUUUAAAAGGGACUUUUUUCAAAGACUUCUGAAUGAAGAAAAAUAGGAAAAAAUUCUACAACCUGAGAUUCUAAGGAAUUGUGAUCUAGUCUCUAUAGAUUCUGAUAAGAAAUAAAGAGGGGGAGGUGUCUAAAGAAAUUCCUGUGGUUGAACAGGGGGCUGUAUGAACUCUGAUUUUAAAAGGACAAGAAUGAUGGAUGAAAGAAAGGAUGGUAAGGCAGCAAGUAUUAGCAACCACUAUGAUGGCAGCAACUGAUGCAAAGAUGGCAACAUCAGUAUUGAUGAAGACAGCUAUGAUAACAGCACCAACAGUGGCAACAACUGAAAUGACCUUAACAGCUCCAGAGGCAGUGGUGGUCACAUCAACAAUUAUUACAAUAGCAACACCAGCACUACUACAGCAAUGCUGAAAAAUCAGUGAUGGCAACAGGCACCAGCACCACUCACGGUAUUACUCCUUCCAUUAGUGAUGGUGACACUUAUGGUGAUUCUGCUUAUAAUAGCAAAAAAGACCUCAAGAGCAAUGUUGCAGGAAAUGACAUUAGGACCAAUGGUGAUACGCAUGGUAAGCCUGAAAGUCCUAGUAAUGAUGCCAACAGACAUGGCAAUGGAGCCAGAAAGAGUGAUGAUGGCAGAAAUAUAAACACUGGUGGUGAUGACACCAGGGACAAUGCUGUCUGCAAAAGCAACACAUAUAGCAAUAGCACUUCUUCCAGAAGCCACAGGAACAACAAUAGCAAUGAUACUAUAAAUCAGAAUGCCACUAUGAGAAGCCAUUUUGGCCACAACUGCAAUAUAGCAACAGUGAUGACCACAAUACCAGUGAAGCCAGUAGUAGCAAUGACAGAGUAAAUGGCAAUUCUGUCAUCAACAACAAGGACAGCAACAAUGUCAAUGAUGUACAUGUUGAUAAUAAAAUCCAGCAGAAAGGGUGACAUUAAUAAAAGAAAUGGGGCUAGUAAUAACA